RNAcentral lists this ribosomal RNA (96 nucleotides) under Florenciella parvula. RNAcentral describes it as "partial Eukaryotic large subunit ribosomal RNA". Lineage: Eukaryota; Dictyochophyceae; Florenciellales. The record is from RNAcentral.
AUUCGUCCACGUACAUGCUUAGGAUGUUGACAUAAUGGCUUUAAACGACCCGUCUUGUAACACGGACCAAGGAGUCUAACAUAUCUGCGAGUAUUU